RNAcentral lists this long non-coding RNA (615 nucleotides) under Panax ginseng (ginseng). Its description in RNAcentral is "long non-coding RNA (PGIN_LNC012889)". The record is from RNAcentral. Lineage: Eukaryota; Viridiplantae; Streptophyta; Magnoliopsida; Apiales; Araliaceae.
UCUAUUAUAUGUUAAAGUAAAUGCAUGCAUGCAUAUAGUCAUAUAAUGCAUUUUAGAAAGCUCCAGGUAAGGAAAUACCACACCCUUUCCGAGGUGAUUUGGAGACGUGUUGUCCAGACAUUAUGGAUCCAGAUCAUCUGAGCAGUUCCUAUAGGACCUCUUCUGGAGUACGGCGGAGGGCUUUUGAAGUGCGUCGUCCCCGUUCUGUUAGACAGCCUCGUCGGUUGGUGGAGGCUGUGAUACGUCCUGUCCAGGCAGAUGUUCCAGACGUUGAGGAUGAGGAGGCAGAUAUUCCGAUUGAGGAUCCCGCUCCUGCUGCACAUGUCCCUCGCAGGGAGCUUCCGAGCAUUCAGGUGGUGAACCCAGAGUUGCUGGGUGAUUUGAGCAGACAUCCAUCGAUGUAUUUGCAUGCUAAUGAGGUAUGGCGUUAGACUUUGAUCUUCCUUCUUUCUUAUUGAUGAGGAUUAAAGGGUUCUGAUGUUGAUCUGCAUUUCAUGCAGGUUCCAGGAUUUCCAUCCUUUUGAGGGGGCGAUGGGUCAGUGUUCAGCUUCUUGAUAUCUCUCAGCAGAGGACCGAUCCCGUGUGUAUGCUUGUUGGGAUCGGCGUGAGAUAGCU